GAUGAAGAACGUAGCGAAAUGCGAUAAGUAAUGUGAAUUGCAGAUUUCAGUGAAUCAUCGAAUCUUUGAACGCACCUUGCGCUCCUUGGUAUUCCGAGGAGCAUGCCUGUUUGAGUGUCAUUAAAUUCUCAACCUCACCCGUUUUCUGAACGGGUCGAGGCUUGGAUGUGGGGGUUUGUGCAGGCUGCCUCACUGGCGGUCUGCUCCCCUGAAAUGCAUUAGCGAGGUUCAUGCUGAACUUCCGUCUAUUGGUGUGAUAAUUAUCUACGCCGUGGACGAGGAUCAGACUCGCUUCUAACUGUCCGCGAGGACAAUACCUUGACAAUUUGACCUCAAAUCAGGUAGGACUACCCGCUGAACUUAAGCAUAUCAAUAAGCGGAGGA
RNAcentral lists this unclassified non-coding RNA (384 nucleotides) under soil metagenome. RNAcentral describes it as "partial contains 5.8S ribosomal RNA, internal transcribed spacer 2, and large subunit ribosomal RNA". The stretch from base 1 to 120 matches the Rfam family "5.8S ribosomal RNA", at positions 35 to 154 of the family's 154-position model. The record is from RNAcentral.